RNAcentral lists this transfer RNA (73 nucleotides) under Camelus ferus (Wild Bactrian camel). It matches the Rfam family "tRNA". Rfam says of the family: Transfer RNA (tRNA) molecules are approximately 80 nucleotides in length. Lineage: Eukaryota; Metazoa; Chordata; Mammalia; Artiodactyla; Camelidae. The record is from Rfam by way of RNAcentral.
GAGGGUAUAGCUCAAGUGGUAGAGCGCACGCUUAGCAUGCAUGAGGUCCUGGGUUCAGUCCCUGAUACCUCCU